Molecule: transfer RNA, 67 nt
Filed under: Marmota monax (woodchuck)
Lineage: Eukaryota; Metazoa; Chordata; Mammalia; Rodentia; Sciuridae
Description: tRNA.Ala
Source: RNAcentral
GGUUAUGGCUCAGUGGUACAGUGCUUGCCUAGCAUGUGUGAGGCACUGGGUUUGAUUCUCAGCACCA